CCAAUAAGCGAAGGAAAAGAAACCAACAGGGAUUGCCUCAGUAACGGCGAGUGAAGCGGCAAAAGCUCAAAUUUGAAAUCUGGCCCUUUCAGGGUCCGAGUUGUAAUUUGUAGAGGAUGCUUCGGGAGCGGCGGCGGUCUAAGUCCCCUGGAACGGGGCGUCAUAGAGGGUGAGAAUCCCGUCUUGGAUCGCAUUGCCGUGACCAUGUGAAGCUCCUUCGACGAGUCGAGUUGUUUGGGAAUGCAGCUCUAAAUGGGUGGUAAAUUUCAUCUAAAGCUAAAUACUGGCUGGAGACCGAUAGCGCACAAGUAGAGUGAUCGAAAGGUUAAAAGCACCUUGAAAAGGGAGUUAAAUAGCACGUGAAAUUGUUGAAAGGGAAGCGCUUGCAACCAGACUCUGCCUCGGAGGCUCAGUGGGCACGUGUGUCCAUGCACUCCUCCGGUGGUGGGGCCAGCAUCAGUUCUGACGGUCGGUCAAAGGCCCCUGGAAUGUAUCGUCCUCCGGGACGUCUUAUAGCCAGGGGUGCAAUGCGGCCAGUCGGGACUGAGGAACGCGCUUCGGCUCGGAUGCUGGCGUAAUGGUUGUAAACCAACCGUCUUGAAACAC
This 606-nucleotide ribosomal RNA is filed under the name Gymnascella kamyschkoi. Its description in RNAcentral is "eukaryotic LSU rRNA". It matches the Rfam family "Eukaryotic large subunit ribosomal RNA", at positions 43 to 662 of the family's 3401-position model. Lineage: Eukaryota; Fungi; Ascomycota; Eurotiomycetes; Onygenales; Gymnoascaceae. The record is from RNAcentral.